GACGAACGCUGGCGGCGUGCUUAACACAUGCAAGUCGAACGGUAAGGCCCUUCGGGGUACACGAGUGGCGAACGGGUGAGUAACACGUGGGUGAUCUGCCCUGCACUUCGGGAUAAGCCUGGGAAACUGGGUCUAAUACCGGAUAGGACCACUGCCUGCAUGGGUGGUGGUGGAAAGCUUUCGCGGUGUGGGAUGGGCCCGCGGCCUAUCAGCUCGUUGGUGGGGUGAUGGCCUACCAAGGCGACGACGGGUAGCCGGCCUGAGAGGGUGACCGGCCACACUGGGAAUGAGAUACGGCCCAGACUCCUACGGGAGGCAGCAGUGGGGAAUAUUGCACAAUGGGCGCAAGCCUGAUGCAGCGACGCCGCGUGAGGGAUGACGGCCUUCGGGUUGUAAACCUCUUUCAGCACCGACGAAGCGCAAGUGACGGUAGGUGCAGAAGAAGGACCGGCCAACUACGUGCCAGCAGCCGCGGUAA
RNAcentral lists this ribosomal RNA (478 nucleotides) under uncultured bacterium. Its description in RNAcentral is "partial 16S ribosomal RNA". It matches the Rfam family "Bacterial small subunit ribosomal RNA", at positions 28 to 523 of the family's 1533-position model. The record is from RNAcentral.